GUUUAUUUUUUUAUUUAUUUAUUGUGGUGGAACAGAGCCCUUGAUUAGGUCCGGUACAAAAGAAAAAAAGGCAAAAUAAUUAAAAGUAAGACUUUUCAGAUUGCGACGACAGACAGAGUCACUUUCCAUUAUUGUACCACUUGAAAUGUCGACAAUCUUGUCUAUAUAUAUCUUUAAAUCUUUUAUGCUCUCAAAGAACUCCUACAAUUAAACAACUGGUCCUGAGUGACUGAUCAGAGAGCAUUUCAGUAGGAAAUUAGUUAAGUUCAGCUUCUUCAAUAUUUGCUAGCUCAUGGCUUUAGUGGGUAGCUUCAUCGGUAUUCCAAUCAAGAUCACCCAGCAGCACCAGCAGAACCGAAUAUCAAUUAGCAAGCCCUACAGCAUCACCAGAACCACCAUUAUAACAUGCCGUAAACCUUCCCGUAGAGAUAUCAGCAAGGGUCCCCCCGGUGGAAAAACUAACAGCAUUAGGCCAUUGAGGGAGGAGAUAAGAUAUUCUCUUGGAAGCUCACAACCUGGAAAUAAUAAUGCCAAUAAUAUUAAAGGGGAAGUUGGUGUCUCUCCAAAGAAGACUACUUCCACAAAUUAAUAUAUAUACAUAUCUAUAUAUAAAUUGUUGUAAUUUUUUUUC
Long non-coding RNA from Ziziphus jujuba (common jujube), 631 nucleotides. RefSeq lists it as uncharacterized. The transcript is spliced from 2 exons. Lineage: Eukaryota; Viridiplantae; Streptophyta; Magnoliopsida; Rosales; Rhamnaceae. The record is from RefSeq and is a predicted model, not a curated record.